RNAcentral lists this non-coding RNA (26 nucleotides) under Mus musculus (house mouse). The record is from RNAcentral. Lineage: Eukaryota; Metazoa; Chordata; Mammalia; Rodentia; Muridae.
GGAAUUAACCCUGACUGGUGAAAGGA